RNAcentral lists this long non-coding RNA (363 nucleotides) under Brachypodium distachyon (stiff brome). RNAcentral's name for it is "long non-coding RNA (BDIS_LNC004157)". Lineage: Eukaryota; Viridiplantae; Streptophyta; Magnoliopsida; Poales; Poaceae. The record is from RNAcentral.
GGAAUGUAAAAUCAUUUGCUACAAGUCUGUCGCUUCCCAUUCCCCUUCACAGACGUCCAGAAGACACGCGGCCGCCGCCGCUCUCGAUGUACGGCCGUCGUGGUCUCUCCGCCGCCGCCCCGGCCACGCACAAUCCUGACUUCCCCCGCCAAGAAUCGCCGGCGCCGAUGCCCCGAUGCGCUCGACGGCCGCCCAGUCGCCCUAGCCGCUAGACCGCCUUCACCAUCCUGCCUCUCGCUGCCGCUGCCCUCUGGACCGCAGCCCCAGGAGCUGUACCGCCACCCCGUCGUCACAGGAGCAGGACCGCUGCCCCGCCGUUUCCCCUCACAGAGGUGGUCCUGUGCCGUCUCCCCCCCCCCCCCC